This 1161-nucleotide ribosomal RNA is filed under the name Janthinobacterium sp. GW458P. Its description in RNAcentral is "partial 23S ribosomal RNA". It matches the Rfam family "Bacterial large subunit ribosomal RNA", at positions 1 to 1210 of the family's 2925-position model. The record is from RNAcentral. Lineage: Bacteria; Pseudomonadati; Pseudomonadota; Betaproteobacteria; Burkholderiales; Oxalobacteraceae.
GGACAAGCGAAUAAGUGCACAUGGUGGAUGCCUUGGCGAUUACAGGCGAUGAAGGACGUAGUAGCUUGCGAUAAGCUGCGGGGAGUGAGCAAACACACUUUGAUCCGCAGAUUUCCGAAUGGGGCAACCCACCCUUUUAGGGUAUUGCAUACUGAAUACAUAGGUAUGCAAGGCGAACGCGGCGAACUGAAACAUCUAAGUAGCUGCAGGAAAAGAAAUCAACCGAGAUUCCCAAAGUAGCGGCGAGCGAAAUGGGAAGAGCCUGUACGUGAUAGUCGGACCGAUAACAGAAUCCUCUGGAAAUAGGAGCCAUAGUGGGUGAUAGCCCCGUAUGUGAAAUCGGACCGGUGGUACUAAGCGUACGACAAGUAGGGCGGGACACGUGACAUCCUGUCUGAAUAUGGGGGGACCAUCCUCCAAGGCUAAAUACUCGUAAUCGACCGAUAGUGAACCAGUACCGUGAGGGAAAGGCGAAAAGAACCCCGGAAGGGGAGUGAAAUAGAUCCUGAAACCGUGUGCAUACAAACAGUAGGAGCGGACUUGUUCCGUGACUGCGUACCUUUUGUAUAAUGGGUCAGCGACUUACAUUCAGUGGCAAGGUUAACCAGAUAGGGAAGCCGUAGAGAAAUCGAGUCCGAAUAGGGCGAUCAGUCGCUGGGUGUAGACCCGAAACCAAGUGAUCUACUCAUGGCCAGGAUGAAGGUGCGGUAACACGCCCUGGAGGUCCGAACCCACUAAUGUUGAAAAAUUAGGGGAUGAGCUGUGGGUAGGGGUGAAAGGCUAAACAAACUUGGAAAUAGCUGGUUCUCUCCGAAAACUAUUUAGGUAGUGCCUCAAGUAUCACCAUCGGGGGUAGAGCACUGUUAUGGCUAGGGGGUCAUUGCGACUUACCAAACCAUUGCAAACUCCGAAUACCGAUGAGUGCGAGCUUGGGAGACAGACGUCGGGUGCUAACGUCCGGCGUCAAGAGGGAAACAACCCAGACCGCCAGCUAAGGUCCCAAAGAUUGGCUAAGUGGAAAACGAAGUGGGAAGGCUAAAACAGUCAGGAUGUUGGCUUAGAAGCAGCCAUCAUUUAAAGAAAGCGUAAUAGCUCACUGAUCGAGUCGUCCUGCGCGGAAGAUGUAACGGGGCUAAGCCAGUCACCGAAGCUGCGGAUAUC